CCAAUUCUAGUUUUGGCCUUUCAUUCAAAGAAUAUUUACACAUCACUGUCUAUCGCCGCCGCUCCGACCUAAGGUUGACUCAAACGGGGAGAAAGCAUAAAGAUAUCUAAAGCUAGGACACUAGCUCAACAAGCCUGCAAAUUCAUCACUCUAAGCCAUAGCAAUGUAUGGAAGCCAUACCUCAAAACUUGCAAGAAGUCCCAAGCCUCUGUCUCUGCCUCUGGCCAACGCUGAUGGAAUUUCGCUGCACUAAAGCAGGCCUGAGCAGCUCCUGAAACUUGUCCAGAAACACUCCCCAUUCUUC
This 304-nucleotide long non-coding RNA is filed under the name Salvia miltiorrhiza (redroot sage). RNAcentral describes it as "long non-coding RNA (SMIL_LNC006901)". Lineage: Eukaryota; Viridiplantae; Streptophyta; Magnoliopsida; Lamiales; Lamiaceae. The record is from RNAcentral.